UACGGAGGGUGCAAGCGUUAUCCGGAUUCACUGGGCUUAAAGGGUGCGUAGGCGGGCAGAUAAGUCAGUGGUGAAAUACCUGAGCUUAACUUGGGAACUGCCAUUGAUACUAUUUGUCUUGAAUGUUGUGGAGGUUAGCGGAAUAUGUCAUGUAGCGGUGAAAUGCUUAGAGAUGACAUAGAACACCUAUUGCGAAGGCAGCUAACUACGCAAAUAUUGGCGCUGAGGCACGAAAGCGUGGGGAUCAAACAGG
Molecule: ribosomal RNA, 253 nt
Filed under: uncultured bacterium
Lineage: Bacteria
Description: partial 16S ribosomal RNA
Rfam family: Bacterial small subunit ribosomal RNA
Source: RNAcentral